UUCAAGUUACAUCAUGCUUGUGCAGAUUUUGAGGUGGAUAUGAAUGGCAAGCGCUAUUCUUGGCAGGGUAUUGCAAAAUUGCCUUUCAUUGAAGAAGCAAGGCUCCUAACAGAAGUUGCAAAAAUUGAACAUUCUUUGACGGAAGAAGAAUCACGAAGAAACAGUGUGAUGUUUGAUAUGCUUUUUGUGUCGUUAUCCAAUCCUUUGUCUCCAUGCAUUUUUGCUCUUGAUGCACGCUGUAAGCAUCUUACAGUCGG
RNAcentral lists this unclassified non-coding RNA (257 nucleotides) under Hevea brasiliensis (rubber tree). The record is from RNAcentral. Lineage: Eukaryota; Viridiplantae; Streptophyta; Magnoliopsida; Malpighiales; Euphorbiaceae.